CUUUUAUAUUCUCUUUAUUUUUUCCUACCCCUCAUUGUCCCUGGUUCCCCAAUCUUAAGUGAGAAAAAGAAGAAAGUGAAACCACCCAGGACUUUGAUCACUGAAGAUGGGAAAGUCCUGAAUGUAAAUGAACCCAAGUACAUGGACACCUCUUUAAUUGAUGUUGAUGUGCAGCCAACUUACGUGCGAGUAGUGGUCAAAGGAAAGGUGUGUAUAUCUCAUGGGCUAUUGCAAUCUCAAAAGCUAAGCCUUGAAUUCAGUUAAAAAUUUAAGC
Molecule: long non-coding RNA, 274 nt
Filed under: Dasypus novemcinctus (nine-banded armadillo)
Lineage: Eukaryota; Metazoa; Chordata; Mammalia; Cingulata; Dasypodidae
Description: lncRNA (ENSDNOG00000052278.1)
Source: RNAcentral